CCUACGGGAGGCAGCAGUGAGGAAUAUUGGUCAAUGGACGAGAGUCUGAACCAGCCAAGUAGCGUGAAGGAUGACUGCCCUAUGGGUUGUAAACUUCUUUUAUAUGGGAAUAAAACGUUCCACGUGUGGGAUUUUGUAUGUACCAUAUGAAUAAGGAUCGGCUAACUCCGUGCCAGCAGCCGCGGUAAUACGGAGGAUCCGAGCGUUAUCCGGAUUUAUUGGGUUUAAAGGGAGCGUAGGUGGAUUGUUAAGUCAGUUGUGAAAGUUUGCGGCUCAACCGUAAAAUUGCAGUUGAAACUGGCAGUCUUGAGUACAGUAGAGGUGGGCGGAAGUCGUGGUGGAGCGGUGAAAUGCUUAGAUAUCACGAAGAACUCCGAUUGCGAAGGCAGUUCACUGGACUGCAACUGACACUGAGGCUCGAAAGUGUGGGUAUCAAACAGGAUUAGAUACCCCAGUAGUC
Molecule: ribosomal RNA, 460 nt
Filed under: uncultured bacterium
Lineage: Bacteria
Description: partial 16S ribosomal RNA
Rfam family: Bacterial small subunit ribosomal RNA
Source: RNAcentral